Long non-coding RNA from Fundulus heteroclitus (mummichog), 213 nucleotides. RefSeq lists it as uncharacterized. The transcript has 2 exons. Lineage: Eukaryota; Metazoa; Chordata; Actinopteri; Cyprinodontiformes; Fundulidae. The record is from RefSeq and is a predicted model, not a curated record.
CGGGAGCACACGGAGCGCAGCGCUAGUCUGCGGGGCGGGGGACGAUGGCGGCUCGAACUUAUCCCGGGACCAAGGGACCAGACCAGUCUAGGAGGCGUUCGGGUCGACGGAGAGCGGGGCGAGGGGGUCCGAGCAGCAACGAGGGCGUCCAGGGAUCCAGAGCAGCGAGAGGAACCGGAGAGAGAGUUGGUGUGACUCGCGUCCAGAGCUGAG